This 1799-nucleotide long non-coding RNA is filed under the name Pan troglodytes (chimpanzee). Its description in RNAcentral is "long non-coding RNA NONPTRT004134". Lineage: Eukaryota; Metazoa; Chordata; Mammalia; Primates; Hominidae. The record is from RNAcentral.
CGGCAGGGCGCGGCAGCCAAUCAGCGCGCGGCUUCUAUAGGGCUUGAGUUAUUAGACGCUGAUCUCAAAACAUCCUUCAUCAGACACGAAGGAGAGGCCAACAGAUGAGGGAAGCCAUUUUUCUGCAAUGGAAUUAAAUGGCCAAGUGGGUUUUUCCUUUGUUGCAAAUGGGGAAUGUUUUUCCUUUGACUCUACCAUCCAGUUCAGGACGUCUCAGUGUGUUUAACAUUUGUCAACAGGCCCAAGGACUCACAGUUGGAAGACUGGAGAAGACUUUUUAAAAAGAUCUGGAUUUUUCCUUAUGACUUGGAAUCCAUCUUUGUCUUGUAUAACUAGGUCAUAGCACACCAUUCAUGUCAGCAGUUAACAGUUUUGAAUUACAAAAAAACCUAAGUAAAUGACAUAUUUUUUUUCCUCUUUUUGUUCUAUGGGUGGGUGGGGGGAGCUUGGAGCUGUCUUGAUCUGUAUUCUCUUGACUGAACAAUAAAUUUUUAAAUAUAUCUAGUUUCCUCUAUUAAACACUUAAACCUGGCCAUCUUAUUAACUCCUUCUCUCUUUUUAACAAGGUAACGUUUUAAAUGUAUAUAGCUUUAGGACUAGCGAAAUGGCAGCAACAAAAAAUUGUGAGCAGUUGUUACUCUUUCAGUUUUUAAAAAACCUUUUACAUUGUAAGUACCCAAUCCAUUCUGUCCUGACGCAGUACAGUUUUGAUGUUAAUGUUGCUGAGAUGUCCUUAAUUUUCCGAACCUUCAUCUGCAUGUAUGUCUUUGUCUCUCUUGUCUAAUAUAAGCCAGUUAAGAUGCUUGAGACGAUCUUGCUUUAUAAAGCUAAGGUUCUAGCUUUAUGCUUUUGAAAAUGUUUACAGCACUAAAUGCUAGUCAGCUUUCUUCCCCGUAGCUUGUACACUUUCUUUGAAAAUCGAUCUAUUUGAAGAAAAACAGCCCUGUUUUUCUCGUCUUUGGUGUUGGGGGUUGGGGGGAGCUGGUGGGUGAGGGAAAGGAAGACCUUUUCUUUGUGUAGAGAGACUAAAGCCGUCACAGGAAACUAGAUUAAAACUGGAAAACAAGUCCUAGCUGGUUCCAGCAAACACCAACGUUAAGUGGGGGGUAUUUUCUAUGGUGGUUGGGCGGCUGGUGCGUCUUUUGCCUUUUGUUUGAUUUGACUGUAUUUUCCCUUUUGUCUCUUAAUGACGAUCACACCAUUGCUAUAUCCAGAGCAGUAAACAGUCCUCAGCGAAGCCGCCUUUUUGCCUACCCAACCCUGGAAAGUUUGCAGAAGUGGAAGGAGCAGAACGUGAGGGUGUAACUUACAAAAAGCUUGAUCUUCUAGACUCCAUGGCACCGGGCUGAGCGGGUCUGAACCUGGAUGGGGAGAAGAAAUUGAAGUGCUUUGGAGACGGGGGACUUAAAACACUAGGGAGCCUCAUCGCCCAGCCUUGGGCCCACUUUCCUUUCGAUCGUGAGGAUUCCGCACCCCGAAGCCGGCUUCUCGGGGCUCCGGGGCGCGCCUGCGCUGGCAACGCGAAGGAGGACAAAAGGCCGGCGUCCAUGUUGGCACCAUGACGCAGCAUCUCCGCCCGCAGCCCGGCGCUCCUGUCCUCCCGGCCGCGCUCGCUCCUCCUCCCAAACACCAGUUUUCUUUACAGGCUUCGAGCCCGUCGCGGCUGGGCCGGGCUGGUCUGGCAGGCGGGCCCAGCCGGGCAGGGCUGCUUUGCUAAUGGCGGCGGCUCUCUUUCCUUCCUUCCUCCUUUCCUCCGUCCCCCCGGUCGUGGGGAGCCCGGAGCAGGAGGCGGGCCCGCG